Molecule: ribosomal RNA, 490 nt
Filed under: uncultured bacterium
Lineage: Bacteria
Description: partial 16S ribosomal RNA
Rfam family: Bacterial small subunit ribosomal RNA
Source: RNAcentral
AUUGAACGCUGGCGGCAGGCCUAACACAUGCAAGUCGAACGGUAACAGGAAGCAGCUUGCUGCUUUGCUGACGAGUGGCGGACGGGUGAGUAAUGUCUGGGAAACUGCCUGAUGGAGGGGGAUAACUACUGGAAACGGUAGCUAAUACCGCAUAACGUCGCAAGACCAAAGAGGGGGACCUUCGGGCCUCUUGCCAUCGGAUGUGCCCAGAUGGGAUUAGCUAGUAGGUGGGGUAACGGCUCACCUAGGCGACGAUCCCUAGCUGGUCUGAGAGGAUGACCAGCCACACUGGAACUGAGACACGGUCCAGACUCCUACGGGAGGCAGCAGUGGGGAAUAUUGCACGAUGGGCGCAAGCCUGAUGCAGCCAUGCCGCGUGUAUGAAGAAGGCCUUCUGGUUGUAAAGUACUUUCAGCGGGGAGGAAGGGAGUAAAGUUAAUACCUUUGCUCAUUGACGUUACCCGCAGAAGAAGCACCGGCUAACUCCGUG